This 297-nucleotide unclassified non-coding RNA is filed under the name Hevea brasiliensis (rubber tree). The record is from RNAcentral. Lineage: Eukaryota; Viridiplantae; Streptophyta; Magnoliopsida; Malpighiales; Euphorbiaceae.
GGACUGUUUUAGCCUUAAGAAAACAUUUGGAGGAAGAAGCUCGUGAUCUUAGUGGAGAAGCAUUUUCGCGCUUUAUGGAUCAGUUAUAUGAACGAAUUUCUAGUCUUCUGGAAAGUAACGAAGUUGCUGAAAAUUUGGGAGCUUUAAGAGCUAUUGGCGAGUUGAUAGAUGUGGCACUUGGGGAGAAUGCCUCUAAGGUCUCUAAGUUUUCUAUUUACAUGCGGAAUGUGUUUGAGGUAAAGAGGGAUCGUGAUGUAUUGACCCUUGCUAGUAGAGUUCUUGGACACUUGGCCAGGG